Molecule: long non-coding RNA, 1438 nt
Filed under: Vulpes vulpes (red fox)
Lineage: Eukaryota; Metazoa; Chordata; Mammalia; Carnivora; Canidae
Description: lncRNA (ENSVVUG00000021687.1)
Source: RNAcentral
CCGAUCUUCUCUGUCUUAUAUUUUAAAUUUUGAUACAGAGAGUGAUGCUCCGUGCCAGCUGCUGAGUCUUGAGCGAGGCCCUGGAUGCCACACGUGUCUUCAGACCCUCACGCACUCUUGCCUCUGCCUUGGAUGCACCGCUUUGCCCACGUCUCCUCCUCACGCACACCUGGGCAGCACCUGGACAGUCUCUCAGGCCCUGGUCAGAGAAAGCACGUGUCCUCUGUUCCCUCGGUGCGCUUGUCACCCGUUUCCUUUACUCCCUGAUCAUUGUGGACACAUAGCACCGAUACUCUAGCAGAUGUUUUCCAGAGGUUUGGGGUGCACCUGCACCACAGGACACCUGGACCUUGCCUGCAGCAUGGGGGCCUGGGGAACAUCUCUGCCACUUUGCACUGAGGGCUGGGGUGGGUCUGCUGCCUGCCCUGCUGGUUAGAAGCCCUGCAAGACAAGGAGGAGCUGGGACCCUCCGAGGAGUAGUGGAGCGUCACCACUACUGGCACUAGCACCAUGAUGUGACCUUUGAACUGGGCACCUUGAAACAUUGGUGGCUGGGGAGAGGGUAUCUGCCCAGGACUGCCAGAUGCACAGUUCAAGCAGAGGGUUUUUGGAAAAGGAAGGGUGUCACCCAGCAGGGCAGCGUCACACAGAGUGGGCACAGGGUUGGGGGUGCAGCCGCAGGGAGCGGGCCUUGGGCUUGCCCUCUGAAGCCACCUUGGUGGGAUCCCUGGAUGGUGACCUACUGGGUGGUUACUAGGAGUAUUCUCCACCUGCUGUGCUGGGUGGGGGGGCUGCUGCGUAAAGGAAGUCAUGCUCGUAGAGCAGUUAGCCUUGUCGUGGGCUGACACUCAUUGUAACACCUGCACUCAGCCUGGGGUCCCAGACCCUGGUUGUACGUGGAAGAGGAGGGAGGGAGACGAGAGUGUGCCUUGGGUGCUCGCUCAGCCUCUGAGGAAUCGCUGUCCUGCUUCCUUCUCCAGAUCUGCCUCCAGAGUGGAGGGCUGGGAAGCCCACUGGGGAACCCCUUCUUCCUGUCCUGGCGGUGGCCUGAGAACUGGGACUGCGCUGGCCCUGGAGGGGACGCUGGUGUAUCAUCGACAUGGAAUUGCGCAGAGCCCGCAGAGACCCCGGGCUUUCAGGGCGGUUUCUGAGGUGCACCUGAAUCCAGCCUCGGCUGAGGCAGUGGCCGGCCUGCUGCCUAUGGGGCGUGACCACCUGCGAGAGAAAACACUGCUGGUAAAGAGGACCAGUGGGACUCCGCGAUCAGCUGGACAUGUUGAUGCUCGAGACAGGUGGCUGGGUGCUCCUCGGGGCAGGGGAGGGGGGAACGGGUGUCAUCGUGCUCAAAGUCAGAGUGGUAACUAAAAGUAUUUAAUGUGUUGAGAGCACCACCCACGCAAAAAAAAAAAAAAAAACCCAAAAAACAAAAACAACAACA